RNAcentral lists this unclassified non-coding RNA (667 nucleotides) under Onthophagus coenobita. RNAcentral's name for it is "sequence contains 5.8S rRNA gene and ITS2". Lineage: Eukaryota; Metazoa; Arthropoda; Insecta; Coleoptera; Scarabaeidae. The record is from RNAcentral.
CUUCGAACGCACAUUGCGGUCUUCGGAUACUGUUCCUGGACCACUCCUGGCUGAGGGUCGUUUCAACUUCCACGACUGCCGGGCGUGCAAUGCACCGCUAGUACGGUGCUCGCGCCGCCGAGGCAAAUAUAUGGCCGUUCGCGAGACGCCGUAAGAUCGUUCGUUAGGUACACAGCCCCGCACUUGUACGGAGGCGGCCGAACGUCCGUUCUAAAGCUUAUCGCGUCGGUUUAAAUUACCGCCAAUAUAAUAAGGUUCGCGGCGAACAGCGUAUGUUGUGUUAUAUACGCCCGUCGGAACUCGACUGUGGUCGACGUGUCAGAGACAAAACCGAGGAUGAAAUGCUUGGCAUAUUCGAUAUCCCGAGUUUUGCGUUGCGGGGAACGGGUGUCGUCGUAUUAGUCCGAUGUUCGGGUUCAGCGAUAAAAUACGUUGUUGUACGAUGACCAUGAAGUCCGUCGUCUCAUCGUUAAUUAUGUCGCGAUAACUUACGUUGACAGACGACAGAUAGCCACGUUUAACCAACCGACGUCAGAUCUAUCGGUUCGACAUUCGCUGCGGCGGUCCCCCCGUCUUAACUCUCGUCGCCCAUCGAAGCGACGGACGGACGGACGGACGGACGGACGACCGCGCGAAUAACGGGUGUGCCGUUUGUGUGACCGAAGGC